RNAcentral lists this ribosomal RNA (253 nucleotides) under uncultured bacterium. RNAcentral describes it as "partial 16S ribosomal RNA". It matches the Rfam family "Bacterial small subunit ribosomal RNA", at positions 524 to 776 of the family's 1533-position model. The record is from RNAcentral.
UACGGAGGGGGUUAGCGUUGUUCGGAAUUACUGGGCGUAAAGCGCGCGUAGGCGGAUUAGAAAGUUGGGGGUGAAAUCCCGGGGCUCAACCCCGGAACUGCCUCCAAAACUACUAGUCUAGAGUUCGAGAGAGGUGAGUGGAAUUCCGAGUGUAGAGGUGAAAUUCGUAGAUAUUCGGAGGAACACCAGUGGCGAAGGCGGCUCACUGGCUCGAUACUGACGCUGAGGUGUGAAAGUGUGGGGAGCAAACAGG